GCUAGCUGGAAAAGCUCAAGCUAACGCUGCUGCUAGCAACGCUUACUUCCGCUGGAAGUCAUGCUACAUCCGCUCGGGGACCCGUCUGUUGCCACCUUCAGUUUUUGUCUGAGAAGAAGAACCACACCAGCGAACUAGUGUGGCUGAGUCUGUGGAAAUGAUACAGUUUGUAGGGCCAGAGAUACCUUUGAUCUAGGAUGAACUUCCUGAUGCAGCUGAAGAAAUUCUACCUGUCAGUACAGUCGAUGAGGCGGUUCUACACCUCAGUCACGGCCUCCUCCAUCACCGUGUGGUACGCUGGAGCCACCACCAGGCAGGGACAUGAAGAAGCUGCAGCGAGUUGCAUGCUCUGCUGAAAAGGUCAUUGGCUGCUAACUCCCCUCUCUACAGGACCUGCACACCUGCAGGACACUGAGGCGUGCAGGUCGGAUCAUAGCUGACCUGUGUCACCCUGGUCAGUCUCUUGGACUCGCCCCCAUCUGACUGGAGGCUCAGAUCCAUUCAGACCAGAACCUCUCCCCACAAGAAGCAAUUCUUCCUCUGUGCUGUUGGACUCAUGAAGAAGAAGAAGAAGAAGAAGAAGAAGACAAUAUCAUUUCUAUAGCGCCUCUCAAGAUAAAAAUCACGAGGCGCUUAGAAAACGUUUAAAAAUAUAUUUAAAAUGAGCAAAAAGAGACAAUUGUGAUAAAAAAAUGUUAAGAAAGAGAGAGAGAAUAGAAAAGAGGGACAUCAGUGGAUCCUGAGGAAGGUGGAAUAGGUGGGGAGAGCAGAAUAAAGAGAGAGUGGUGAAGAAGGUCAUACACAAGCCAGCUUGAACAAGUGAGUCUUCAGCUGCUUUUUAAAGGAGACCACUGAGUCCACUGAUCUCAGGCUCAGGGGGAGAGAGUUCCAGAGUCUGGGGGCCACAGCAGCAAAUGAUCUGUCACCUUUGUUCUUUAGCCUGGUGCGCUGCACAACCAGUAGGCUUUGAUCACUGGACCUCAGGGACCUGCUGGGGGUGUAGGGACUAAGAAGAUCACCAAUGUAAGAUGGUGCUUGUCCAUGUAAGGCCCUAUAGACCAGAACCAGGAUCUUGAAAUGAACCCUGAAAGUGAUCGGCAGCUGGUGAAGAUGGAGGAGAAGCGGGGUGACGUGGGUGUGUUUGGAAUAGUCCUAGGGCUGCCCACUCCUGUGGCUUUGUUCCAGUCACAUGACCCUGAGUAGUGUUUGGGCUCUGAGCAGCACUGAUACUGUCUCGUAUAAAUUAGUAAUUUCUCUUAUUGCUGCUCCUUCAUGUUAUUUUUAAACCUUUUAUUGGUCUUAUUUCUUGUUUCUGAACCAAGCACUGCAGCUAUUUCCUAAUGAGGCGAACCUGCUCACACAUAUGGAAAUAAAACUUCUGAUUCUGAACAUAAUAAAGGUCCUUCAAUGAAGAAACAGCUGAUUUGUUCAUUGUUUUCCGACCAAGAUGACUUCCUCUUUGUUUCAGGCUGUGUGGAAAUGUAUCCGUCUGUAUGGUGAACUCUGACCCAGAUGAAACGUCUAAAAUCUCGUCUUCCGCAGCAGUGAAGAACAUCAGCACAGAGACAUGGGGGGAGGAGCCAACUGAUUAGCCUCCUCCCUCUGACCCAGCAGCUGAGUACUGAUGAAGACUAAACACAAAGAUCAGUGUUCCUCCUGCUCACCACUGCAGACAUGAUGCCUCUGAUGGUCUCAGCGCUGCUGGCUGCUGCGUGCCUCGAAAUCAGAGCACAAACCGACAGCGUCCUGCAGGAAAAACCAGAGGUGGUCGCUGGCCAGGGAGGCUCUGUAAGUCUCAGCUGUCUGUACAACACCAGUUCAUCAAACCAUUAUCUCUACUGGUACAGACAGGAAGGAAACAACAGGCCCCAGUUCAUCCUGAGUCGCUUUAAGAUCGGAGAAGGGAAAAACGCAGACAAGGAGAAAUAUUCAUCCACCCUCAAUCAUGAGGUGAAAUCAGUUCCUCUGAGGAUCCAGAAGCUUCAUGUGACAGACUCUGCUGUGUACUACUGCGCUCUGCAGCCCACAGUGACAGGAAACAGUAAAAGUGUGUAGAAAAUCUGCAGAGCAAACAUCCACUAGAGGGACUCACAUACUGGGAACUCUGGUUGUUGAGUCGUUGGACUGAUGACAAAGACAACAGACACAUGAAGCAGCAGACAUCAGACACAGCUGCUGCAGAAGCACAAAAGCAUCUGAUUGGUUGAGCUGAUGUCCAAACAUUAUAUCAGGAGGUGACAAUCAUGUCUGGGAUUUUAAGGUCGCUGUAAUCAAACCUCUACUUAAGAAACCUUCUCUGGAUCCAGAUGACCCAAGGAAUUAUAGACCAACAUCUAACCUUCCAUUUUUAUCCAAAGUCCUCGAGAACAGAGCAGCCAAUCGAGCGUGAGCAUUGUAACGUUUUGUAAGUUACAACGUUACUCUACGAUUAAAGUUUUUAUUUAUUCCUGACGGGAA
Nothobranchius furzeri (turquoise killifish) is the source of this 2457-nucleotide non-coding RNA. The record is from the annotation of a RefSeq genome assembly. Lineage: Eukaryota; Metazoa; Chordata; Actinopteri; Cyprinodontiformes; Nothobranchiidae.